UACGUAGGGGGGCAAGCGUUGUCCGGAUUUAUUGGGCGUAAAGAGCUCGUAGGCGGUCUGUCGCGUCGGGAGUGAAAACACCGGGCUUAACUCGGUGCUUGCUUUCGAUACGGGCAGACUGGAGGUAUGCAGGGGGAGAACGGAAUUCCUGGUGUAGCGGUGAAAUGCGCAGAUAUCAGGAGGAACACCGGUGGCGAAGGCGGGUCUCUGGGCCGUAACUGGACGCUGAGGAGCGAAAGCGUGGGGAGCGAACAGG
RNAcentral lists this ribosomal RNA (256 nucleotides) under uncultured bacterium. RNAcentral's name for it is "partial 16S ribosomal RNA". It matches the Rfam family "Bacterial small subunit ribosomal RNA", at positions 524 to 776 of the family's 1533-position model. The record is from RNAcentral.